Molecule: ribosomal RNA, 120 nt
Filed under: uncultured bacterium
Lineage: Bacteria
Description: partial 16S ribosomal RNA
Rfam family: Bacterial small subunit ribosomal RNA
Source: RNAcentral
GACGAACGCUGGCGGCGUGCCUAAUACAUGCAAGUCGAGCGGACUUUUCGGGAGCUUGCUUCCGGAAAGUCAGCGGCGAACGGGUGAGUAACACGUGGGUAACCUGCCUGCAAGACCGGG